UUCCGAAGCGUGUGUGAAUUAUAUCUUAAAAUAACAUUUGAAAAACUGGGAAUCUAUGGCCAUGCUCGACGAAGCGUAUCAUGGAGAGAUCAGUCAAUUGUUAUGUAAAUAAUAAUACCGGACACAGAGAAACGGUUCCAUAGGUUAGAUCGGCUUUUUAACAGCACGUUUCCUAUUACAUACAUUGUAACUACGAUCGGUGUCAAUGCUUGAAUAUAACCCGUCGGCGAGCAGCCCCGAACAAAAAGAAUCCGAAGGGAGAUCCGAAGGAGAUGAUUCUAACGAGAGAUCUGAAUUAAAAAGAUCAGAAGGAUCUCGAGAGAGCUUAGAACCGGCUGUGGAAGAAUUACUUGGCUCGGAAAUAAGCAAAUCUAUUACCGUAGUUGUAACGCAUCGUGGAACACAGACAAUAAUACAUUGCAAGCCUGACGUGAGCAAACACGACUUCAUCAAAAUGCUUGUCGAUUCGAGAAUAUGAAUGCAGAAAGUCGGCACCGUUUGUAACG
This is a non-coding RNA of Megalopta genalis, 506 nucleotides long. The record is from RefSeq and is a predicted model, not a curated record. Lineage: Eukaryota; Metazoa; Arthropoda; Insecta; Hymenoptera; Halictidae.